Ceratotherium simum simum (southern white rhinoceros) is the source of this 108-nucleotide non-coding RNA. Lineage: Eukaryota; Metazoa; Chordata; Mammalia; Perissodactyla; Rhinocerotidae. The record is from RefSeq and is a predicted model, not a curated record.
UUCUGGUCUUCCUAGGAGUAGACAGCAACCCCCACCUACCAUCUCUAGCUAGAUUCUCAUGUUUUCCCCAUGCAAUGGCCAUUUCUGCAGUUACAAUGGCUACAACCU